Molecule: ribosomal RNA, 251 nt
Filed under: uncultured prokaryote
Description: partial 16S ribosomal RNA
Rfam family: Bacterial small subunit ribosomal RNA
Source: RNAcentral
ACGUAGGAGGCGAGCGUUAUCCGGAUUCACUGGGCGUAAAGCGUGUGCAGGCGGUUCGGUAAGUUGGGCGUGAAAUCUCCCGGCUCAACUGGGAGAGGUCGUUCAAUACUACCGGACUUGAGAGCGAUAGAGGAAAAUGGAAUUCCCGGUGUAGUGGUGAAAUGCGUAGAUAUCGGGAGGAACACCAGUGGCGAAGGCGGCUUUCUGGCCCGUAACUGACACCGAGGCGCGAAAGCGUGGGGAGCGAACGG